GAUCUAAUGCUGUUCAACUGAGUGGGGAACCCAGCGAGGCCUGUCUGUCCAGAUUCUUCUCAGCCUGUCUCUUUGCAGCAUUCCUUCAUUCCUUAUAUGAGGCAGGACCCUCUCUGGAUGAGGGUCUUCUGACCUACAAUCAGACAAGAGCCCUAGAUGAAUAUAGCAGCCACAUAGGAAGGGGAAACAACAAGCUUUCACGGAAAGAAGAUCAAGGAGCGAGAUGCCAAUGCUGAAACGAUCACGCCAUCUUAGCUCUGAAACUGACUGCUCGGUGAGGCAGAGUCUGCUGAGAAUGUCAGAGUCACUCUUCGCCUCUAGAAUGAGUCUAAUUCCAGACAAAGGUUCAUAAUUUCCGUAUAUAUUCCACCUGGCUGGUCAGAUGGAAUUAAAAUGACAAAAGCCCUUCAAUGA
Sapajus apella (tufted capuchin) is the source of this 414-nucleotide long non-coding RNA. RefSeq lists it as uncharacterized. The transcript is spliced from 2 exons. NCBI's taxonomy places the organism in Eukaryota, Metazoa, Chordata, Mammalia, Primates, Cebidae. The record is from RefSeq and is a predicted model, not a curated record.